RNAcentral lists this long non-coding RNA (1750 nucleotides) under Salmo salar (Atlantic salmon). RNAcentral describes it as "lncRNA (ENSSSAG00000106417.1)". The record is from RNAcentral. Lineage: Eukaryota; Metazoa; Chordata; Actinopteri; Salmoniformes; Salmonidae.
UAGUAGAACUGCAUAAGUGUUGUCCUCCACUAUCGGAGGACCGAGUUUUUAAAUCAGUGGAAUUAGAGUAUGAUAGCUAAGGAGAUGGAGAAAACACCUGUCUCUGGAUUACAUCUUCAAACUAAUGGCAACCAUGGCAUCCGUGACAGAGAGGGAGAAGUGUCCAUCCAUGUAUAUGGCUCUCUUUAUCUCUGACAGGAGCGUCUGAGUGAGCAUCAGGGACAGUCUUCAACCCAUCUCUCCCACAACUGACGCCUCCACAGAUAAUUGCGUUUGAAGAACCUCCCUUGCUUAAGGGGGACCUAUUAUAUCUCCAUCGCCAUGUGACACGCUGCAACACACUUCAUUUACAGUGCCUUCAGAAAGUAUUCAUAACCCUUAAAUUAUUCCACAUUUUGUUGUGUUACAGCCUGAUUUAAAAAUGUAUUACAUAUCUUUUUUUACUCACCCAUCUACACACAAUACCUCAUAAUGAUCAAGUGAAAACAGGUUUUCAGAAAUGUUUGCAAACUUAUUGAAAAUUAAAUACUGAAAUAUCUAAUUUCCCUAAGUUUUCACUCAAUACAUGUUAAAUACAUGUACAUGUUAAAAUCACCUUUGGCAGCAAUUACAGCUGUGAGUCUUUCUGGUUAAGUCUUUAAGUGCUUUGCACUACUGGAUUGUUCAAUAUCUGCACAUUACUGUUUUUAAAACUCUUAAAACUCUGUCAAGUUGGUUGUUUAUCAUUGCUACAGUAGAUACAGUAGCCAUUUUCAAGUAUUGCCAUAGAUUUGAGCCAAUUUAAGUAAAAACUGUAACUAGGCCACUCAGGAACAUUCAAUGUCAUCUUGGUAAGCAACUCCAGUGUAUAUUUGGCCUUGUGUUUUGUCCUUCUGUAAGGUGAAUUUGUCUCACAGUGUCUGCUGGAAAGCAGACUGAACCAGGUUUUCCUCUUGGAUUUUGCCUGUACUUAGCUCUAUUCCAUUUCUUUUUAAAACACUUUUAAAAACUCUCUAGUCCUUGCUGAUGACAAGCAUACCCAUAACAUGAUGCAGCCACCACCAUGCUUGAAAAUAUGGAGAGUGGUACUCAAUGAUGUAUUGUGUUGGAUUUGCCCCAAACAUAACAAGUUGUAUUCAGGACAAAAAGUACAUUUCUUUGCCACUUUUUUUGCAGUAUUGCGUUAGUGCCUUCUUGCAAACAGGAUGAAUGUUUUUGAAUAUUUUUAUUCUGCACACUCUUCAUUCUUUUCACUCUGUCAUUUAUGUUAGUAUUGUGGAGUAAUUACAGUGUUGCUGAUCCAUUGUUUUCUUCGAUCACAGCCAUUAAACUCUGUAACAAUUUUAAGAUCACCAUUGGCUUCAUCGUGAAAUCCCUGAGCAGUUUUGAUCCUCUCCGGCAACUGAGUUAGGAAUGACAAAGGGGUUGAAUACUUACUGACUUAAGACAUUUCAGCUUUCCAUUUUUAAUGAAUUUCUUUAAAAAACUCUAAAACAUAAUUCCACUUUGACCUUGUGUGUAGGCCAGUAACACAAAAUCUAAAUGUAAUUUAUUUUGAAAUCAGGUUGUAACAACAAAAUUUGGAUAAAGUCAAGGGGUAUGAAUACUUUCUGAAGACAUUAACAUAACUGUGAACAUGGUUAUUUCUCCCUAUCGGCAGUCAGAAUGAGGAGUUAGGAGGGUGGGAUCAUGCUAAAUGCAGAGGUGGGGGUGAAGGAUGGGAUUAGGGCAUGCUAGAUGCAGACAUGGGCGUGGAGGGUAGCAUUACGGC